Molecule: ribosomal RNA, 434 nt
Filed under: uncultured bacterium
Lineage: Bacteria
Description: bacterial SSU rRNA
Rfam family: Bacterial small subunit ribosomal RNA
Source: RNAcentral
UCGAGGAUCUUCCGCAAUGGGCGAAAGCCUGACGGAGCGACGCCGCGUGCGCGAUGAAGGCCUUCGGGUUGUAAAGCGCUUUUGUAGGGGAGGAAGACCGAAAGGUUUGACUGUACCCUGCGAAUAAGCUCGGGCUAAGUUCGUGCCAGCAGCCGCGGUAAGACGAACCGAGCGAACGUUGUUCGGAAUCACUGGGCUUAAAGGGCGCGUAGGCGGGCAAGCAAGUCCGGGGUGAAAUCUUUCGGCUCAACCGGAAAAGUGCCUUGGAUACUGCUUGUCUCGAGGGAGGUAGGGGCCUGUGGAACUUCCGGUGGAGCGGUGAAAUGCGUUGAUAUCGGAAGGAACGCCGGUGGCGAAAGCGACGGGCUGGAUCUCUACUGACGCUGAGGCGCGAAAGCCAGGGGAGCGAACGGGAUUAGAUACCCCUGUAGUCC